This 619-nucleotide ribosomal RNA is filed under the name Rhodopseudomonas sp. SL3-11. Its description in RNAcentral is "bacterial SSU rRNA". It matches the Rfam family "Bacterial small subunit ribosomal RNA", at positions 56 to 719 of the family's 1533-position model. The record is from RNAcentral. Lineage: Bacteria; Pseudomonadati; Pseudomonadota; Alphaproteobacteria; Hyphomicrobiales; Nitrobacteraceae.
UGCAAGUCGAACGGGCGUAGCAAUACGUCAGUGGCAGACGGGUGAGUAACGCGUGGGAACGUACCUUUUGGUUCGGAACAACUGAGGGAAACUUCAGCUAAUACCGGAUAAGCCCUUGCGGGGAAAGAUUUAUCGCCGAAAGAUCGGCCCGCGUCUGAUUAGCUAGUUGGUGAGGUAAUGGCUCACCAAGGCGACGAUCAGUAGCUGGUCUGAGAGGAUGAUCAGCCACAUUGGGACUGAGACACGGCCCAAACUCCUACGGGAGGCAGCAGUGGGGAAUAUUGGACAAUGGGGGCAACCCUGAUCCAGCCAUGCCGCGUGAGUGAUGAAGGCCCUAGGGUUGUAAAGCUCUUUUGUGCGGGAAGAUAAUGACGGUACCGCAAGAAUAAGCCCCGGCUAACUUCGUGCCAGCAGCCGCGGUAAUACGAAGGGGGCUAGCGUUGCUCGGAAUCACUGGGCGUAAAGGGUGCGUAGGCGGGUUUCUAAGUCAGAGGUGAAAGCCUGGAGCUCAACUCCAGAACUGCCUUUGAUACUGGAAGUCUUGAGUAUGGCAGAGGUGAGUGGAACUGCGAGUGUAGAGGUGAAAUUCGUAGAUAUUCACAAGAACACCAGUGGCGAA